CAUAAAACUUGAAAUGUCUGCAUGAUAACUGCUUAAAAUGGGUAAUUUUUUAUCCUCAAAAUAUGCAUUUUUGAGGCAAAAUCCAAGGGGACCCGUAACAUGGCAACGGGGGCAUAAACAAAUUUUUUGUCAACAUUUUUCUUGUUAGUUUAUCGAUAGCUACCAACAGACCAAGUUUCAAGAAAAUCUGAGACUAUGCGUGCCGCAA
Molecule: long non-coding RNA, 208 nt
Filed under: Mytilus galloprovincialis (Mediterranean mussel)
Lineage: Eukaryota; Metazoa; Mollusca; Bivalvia; Mytilida; Mytilidae
Source: RNAcentral